RNAcentral lists this ribosomal RNA (445 nucleotides) under uncultured bacterium. RNAcentral's name for it is "partial 16S ribosomal RNA". It matches the Rfam family "Bacterial small subunit ribosomal RNA", at positions 354 to 796 of the family's 1533-position model. The record is from RNAcentral.
GUGAGGAAUAUUGCGCAAUGGAGGCAACUCUGUCGCAGCCAUGCCGCGUGCAGGAAGAAGGCGCUACGCGUUGUAAACUGCUUUUAACCGGGAAGAAACCCCAGGACGUGUCCUGGGUUGACGGUACCGGAGGAAUAAGCACCGGCUAACUUCGUGCCAGCAGCCGCGGUAAUACGAAGGGUGCAAGCGUUAUCCGGAUUCAUUGGGUUUAAAGGGUGCGUAGGCGGAGCGUUAAGUCAGUGGUGAAAUCCUGCAGCUUAACUGUAGACUUGCCAUUGAUACUGGCGCUCUUGAGUGCGCUUGAAGUGGGCGGAAUGUGCCGUGUAGCGGUGAAAUGCUUAGAUAUGGCACAGAACACCGAUUGCGAAGGCAGCUGACUAAUACACAACUGACGCUGAGGGACGAAAGUGUGGGGAUCAAACAGGAUUAGAAACCCGGGUAGUCC